CCUACGGGGGGCUGUAGUGGGGAAUAUUGGGCAAUGGGCGAAAGCCUGACCCAGCGACGCCGCGUGGGCGAUGAAGGCCUUCGGGUUGUAAAGCCCUUUCGUGCGGAAAGAACAGUCUUACGGUUAAUACCCGUAGGAUUUGACGGUACCGCAGGAAGAAGCACCGGCUAACUCCGUGCCAGCAGCCGCGGUAAUACGGAGGGUGCGAGCGUUGUUCGGAAUUAUUGGGCGUAAAGGGCGCGUAGGCGGUAAUGAAAGUCAGAUGUGAAAUACUUCGGCUCAACUGAAGAACUGCAUCUGAAACUUCAUAACUCGAGUACAGAAGAGGGAAACGGAAUUCCCGGUGGAGAGGUGAAAUUCGUAGAUAUCGGGAGGAACACCAGUGGCGAAGGCGGUUUCCUGGUCUGAUACUGACGCUGAGGCGCGAAAGUGUGGGGAGCAAACA
Molecule: ribosomal RNA, 445 nt
Filed under: uncultured prokaryote
Description: bacterial SSU rRNA
Rfam family: Bacterial small subunit ribosomal RNA
Source: RNAcentral